GCCAGUGUAGCUCAGUGGUAGAGCAGCUGAUUCGUAAUCAGCAGGUCGUCGGUUCAAGUCCGACCCCUGGCUCCA
This 75-nucleotide transfer RNA is filed under the name Deinococcus deserti. RNAcentral's name for it is "tRNA-Thr(cgt)". It matches the Rfam family "tRNA". From Rfam's summary of the family: Transfer RNA (tRNA) molecules are approximately 80 nucleotides in length. Their secondary structure includes four short double-helical elements and three loops (D, anti-codon, and T loops). Lineage: Bacteria; Thermotogati; Deinococcota; Deinococci; Deinococcales; Deinococcaceae. The record is from RNAcentral. RNAcentral also lists the same sequence under 11 other names.